UACAGAGGGUGCAAGCGUUGUCCGGAAUUACUGGGCGUAAAGAGCUCGUAGGUGGUUUGUCGCGUCUGCUGUGAAAACGCGAGGCUCAACCUCGCGCCUGCAGUGGGUACGGGCAGACUAGAGUGCGGUAGGGGAGAUUGGAAUUCCUGGUGUAGCGGUGGAAUGCGCAGAUAUCAGGAGGAACACCGAUGGCGAAGGCAGAUCUCUGGGCCGUAACUGACGCUGAGGAGCGAAAGCAUGGGGAGCGAACAGG
Molecule: ribosomal RNA, 253 nt
Filed under: uncultured bacterium
Lineage: Bacteria
Description: partial 16S ribosomal RNA
Rfam family: Bacterial small subunit ribosomal RNA
Source: RNAcentral